CCUACGGGAGGCAGCAGUGAGGAAUAUUGGUCAAUGGACGAGAGUCUGAACCAGCCAAGUAGCGUGAAGGAUGACUGCCCUAUGGGUUGUAAACUUCUUUUAUAUGGGAAUAAAAUGUUCCACGUGUGGGAUUUUGUAUGUACCAUAUGAAUAAGGCUCGGCUAACUCCGUGCCAGCAGCCGCGGUAAUACGGAGGAUCCGAGCGUUAUCCGGAUUUAUUGGGGUUAAAGGGAGCGUAGGUGGAUUGUUAAGUCAGUUGUGAAAGUUUGCGGCUCAACCGUAAAAUUGCAGUUGAAACUGGCAGUCUUGAGUACAGUAGAGGUAGGCGGAAUGCGUGGUGUAGCGGUGAAAUGCUUAGAUAUCACGAAGAACUCCGAUUGCGAAGGCAGUUCACUGGACUGCAACUGACACUGAGGCUCGAAAGUGUGGGUAUCAAACAGGAUUAGAUACCCUAGUAGUC
This 460-nucleotide ribosomal RNA is filed under the name uncultured bacterium. Its description in RNAcentral is "partial 16S ribosomal RNA". It matches the Rfam family "Bacterial small subunit ribosomal RNA", at positions 338 to 795 of the family's 1533-position model. The record is from RNAcentral.